GGUGGAUUAGUGGCGAACGGGUGAGUAACACGUGGGUGAUCUGCCCUGCACUUCGGGAUAAGCCUGGGAAACUGGGUCUAAUACCGGAUAGGACCUCGGGAUGCAUGUUCCGGGGUGGAAAGGUUUUCCGGUGCAGGAUGGGCCCGCGGCCUAUCAGCUUGUUGGUGGGGUAACGGCCCACCAAGGCGACGACGGGUAGCCGGCCUGAGAGGGCGACCGGCCACACUGGGACUGAGACACGGCCCAGACUCCUACGGGAGGCAGCAGUGGGGAAUAUUGCACAAUGGGCGCAAGCCUGAUGCAGCGACGCCGCGUGAGGGAUGACGGCCUUCGGGUUGUAAACCUCUUUCAGUACCGACGAAGCGCAAGUGACGGUAGGUACAGAAGAAGCACCGGCCAACUACGUGCCAGCAGCCGCGGUAAUACGUAGGGUGCGAGCGUUGUCCGGAAUUACUGGGCGUAAAGAGCUCGUAGGCGGUUUGUCGCGUCGUCUGUGAAAACCCGCAGCUCAACUGCGGGCUUGCAGGCGAUACGGGCAGACUUGAGUACUGCAGGGGAGACUGGAAUUCCUGGUGUAGCGGUGAAAUGCGCAGAUAUCAGGAGGAACACCGGUGGCGAAGGCGGGUCUCUGGGCAGUAACUGACGCUGAGGAGCGAAAGCGUGGGUAGCGAACAGGAUUAGAUACCCUGGUAGUCCACGCCGUAAACGGUGGGCGCUAGGUGUGGGUUUCCUUCCACGGGAUCCGUGCCGUAGCUAACGCAUUAAGCGCCCCGCCUGGGGAGUACGGCCGCAAGGCUAAA
Molecule: ribosomal RNA, 800 nt
Filed under: Rhodococcus ruber
Lineage: Bacteria; Bacillati; Actinomycetota; Actinomycetes; Mycobacteriales; Nocardiaceae
Description: bacterial SSU rRNA
Rfam family: Bacterial small subunit ribosomal RNA
Source: RNAcentral